RNAcentral lists this ribosomal RNA (235 nucleotides) under Sutcliffiella horikoshii. Its description in RNAcentral is "Bacillus horikoshii partial 16S ribosomal RNA". It matches the Rfam family "Bacterial small subunit ribosomal RNA", at positions 1307 to 1533 of the family's 1533-position model. The record is from RNAcentral. Lineage: Bacteria; Bacillati; Bacillota; Bacilli; Caryophanales; Bacillaceae.
GCAACUCGCCUGCAUGAAGCCGGAAUCGCUAGUAAUCGCGGAUCAGCAUGCCGCGGUGAAUACGUUCCCGGGCCUUGUACACACCGCCCGUCACACCACGAGAGUUUGUAACACCCGAAGUCGGUGGGGUAACCUUUUGGAGCCAGCCGCCUAAGGUGGGACAGAUGAUUGGGGUGAAGUCGUAACAAGGUAGCCGUAUCGGAAGGUGCGGCUGGAUCACCUCCUUUCUAAGGAA